RNAcentral lists this small RNA (165 nucleotides) under bovine gut metagenome. RNAcentral's name for it is "Clostridiales-1 RNA". It matches the Rfam family "Clostridiales-1 RNA". The record is from RNAcentral.
GAUGCCAGGGUCAAAAGGUCAAAAAGCCGUUCAUGCUUGCAUGAUAAGGCUUUUGAACUUGGGACCCGCCAAACAUGAGGAAGCAGUGAUUUGCAUAGCAAAUCAACGGAUUCCUCAUGUUUGUAGUAUUGCGUGAGCAGAAUUGCGAAGCAAUGUGAAGGCAUC